AGCCUGAGGACGCCGGGCUCCGGAGCCGACGAGGCCGCUCCUGCAAGUCCCCCACUCCUGCAAGCCCCCCACUCCGGUCCCCCAGGUCAGGGUCUGCCCGGUCUGCCCCAUGGACUAGUCUGCCCUGCUGUCUGUUGUCUCCUUCCCUCCUGGGAGAGCCCCUGCAUCCGUCCCCCAAGGUGGAGUAAGUGGGCUUGGGGCUCUCAGGGGACAGCCAUCCCCUGCCCUGCCCUGCCUGCCCCACACCAUGACCCUCCUGCUGGUGACCCUCUUGCUGGCCUUGAUCCCCUCUAGCUCCUGUAACAAAGCCAACAAGCACAAGCCAUGGAUUGAGGCAGAAUACCAGGGCAUCGUCAUGGAGAAUGACAACACGGUCCUGCUGAACCCACCACUCUUUGCUUUGGACAAGGAUGCCCCCCUGCGCUAUGCAGGUGAGAUCUGUGGCUUCCGGCUCCAUGGGUCUGGGGUGCCCUUUGAGGCUGUGAUCCUGGACAAAGCGACGGGAGAAGGACUGAUCCGGGCCAAGGAGCCAGUGGACUGCGAGGCCCAGAAGGAGCACACCUUCACCAUCCAGGCCUACGAUUGUGGCGAGGGCCCCGAUGGGGCCAACACCAAGAAGUCCCACAAGGCCACCGUGCAUGUGCGGGUCAACGACGUGAAUGAGUUUGCACCAGUGUUUGUAGAGAGGCUGUACCGUGCUGCAGUGACAGAGGGGAAGCUGUAUGACCACAUCUUGCGGGUGGAAGCCAUUGAUGGUGACUGCUCCCCCCAGUACAGCCAGAUCUGCUACUACGAGAUCCUCACGCCCAACACCCCCUUCCUCAUCGACAAUGAUGGGAACAUUGAAAACACAGAGAAGCUGCAGUACAGUGGCGAGAGGCUCUACAAGUUUACAGUGACAGCCUACGACUGUGGGAAGAAGCGGGCAGCAGAUGACGCUGAGGUGGAGAUCCAGGUGAAGCCCACCUGUAAACCUAGCUGGCAAGGCUGGAACAAAAGAAUUGAAUAUGCACCUGGCGCUGGGAGCUUGGCUUUGUUCCCUGGUAUCCGCCUGGAGACCUGCGAUGAACCUCUCUGGAAUAUUCAGGCCACCAUAGAGCUGCAGACCAGCCAUGUGGCCAAGGGCUGUGACCGUGACAAUUACUCAGAGCGGGCACUGCGGAAACUCUGUGGUGCUGCUACUGGGGAGGUGGAUCUGUUGCCCAUGCCUGGCCCCAAUGCCAACUGGACGGCAGGACUCUCGGUGCACUACAGUCAGGACAGCAGCCUUAUCUACUGGUUCAAUGGCACCCAGGCCGUGCAGGUGCCCCUGGGUGGCACUGUUGGGCUGGGCUCUGGGCCCCAGGACAGCCUCAGUGACCAUUUUACCCUGUCCUUUUGGAUGAAGCAUGGUGUGACUCCCAACAAGGGCAAGAAGGAAGAGGAGACCAUCGUGUGCAACACUGUUCAGAAUGAGGAUGGCUUCUCUCACUACUCACUGACAGUCCAUGGCUGCAGAAUUGCCUUCCUCUACUGGCCGCUGCUUGAGAGUGCCCGCCCGGUCAAGUUCCUCUGGAAGCUGGAGCAGGUCUGUGAUGAUGAAUGGCACCACUAUGCUUUGAACCUCGAGUUUCCCACAGUCACGCUCUAUGCUGAUGGCAUCUCUUUUGACCCUGCCCUCAUCCAUGACAAUGGUCUCAUCCACCCGCCCCGCAGGGAACCUGCUCUCAUGAUUGGGGCCUGCUGGACUGAGGAGAAGAACAAAGAGAAGGUGGCGGGAGACAACAGUGCAGACCCCACACAAGGACACCCUUUGCUGAUCCACCACUACUUCCAUGGCUACCUGGCUGGUUUCAGCGUGCGCUCAGGCCGCCUGGAGAGCCGCGAGGUCAUCGAGUGCCUCUAUGCAUGUCGGGAGGGGCUGGACUAUAGGGAUUUCGAGAGCCUGGGUAAAGGCAUGAAGGUCCACGUGAACCCCUCGCAGUCCUUGCUCACCCUGGAGGGGGAUGAUGUGGAGACCUUCAACCAUGCCCUGCAGCAUGUGGCUUACAUGAACACUCUGCGCUUUGCCACGCCUGGCGUCAGGCCCCUGCGCCUCACCACUGCCGUCAAGUGCUUCAGUGAAGAAUCCUGUGUCUCCAUCCCUGAAGUGGAGGGCUAUGUGGUGGUUCUUCAGCCAGAUGCCCCCCAGAUUCUGCUGAGUGGCACUGCUCAUUUUGCCCUGCCAGCUGUGAACUUCGAGGGACCUGAGGGGAUCCCUUUGUUCCCUGAUCUUCAGAUCACUUGCUCCAUUUCUCACCAGGUGGAGGCCAAAAAGGAUGAGAGCUGGCAGGGCACAGUGACAGAUACACGCAUGUCGGAUGAGAUUGUGCACAACCUUGAUGGGUGUGAGAUUUCUCUGGUGGGCGAUGACCUUGACCCAGAGCGGGAAAGUUUACUCUUGGACAUGGCAUCCUUGCAGCAGCGGGGGCUGGAGCUCACCAACACGUCUGCCUACCUCACCAUUGCUGGGGUGGAGAGCAUCGCUGUGUAUGAGGAGAUCCUGAGGCAGGCUCGAUAUCAGCUACGACACGGCGCUGCCCUCUAUGCCAGGAAAUUCCGGCUUUCCUGCUCAGAAAUGAAUGGUCGUUACUCCAGCAACGAGUUCAUUGUGGAGGUCAACGUCCUGCACAGCAUGAACCGGGUGGCCCACCCUAGCCACGUGCUCAGCUCCCAGCAGUUCCUGCACCGAGGUCACCAGCCACCCCCUGAGAUGGCUGGACAUAGCCUGGCCAGCUCCCACCGCAACUCCACUGCAAGAAAAAUCAGGCAUGAUUCCAUCACAGAGAGGAAACCAUUGUUAAUAUGCAGAAGCAGUAAGAGAAAAUUCUCUGCAAAGGGACAGGAGGGACAUUCCUCUGAAGCCCCCAAGUGCACCAGCAAAGAGAGUGGUCCCGAGCGCGGCGACCCUCAUCAUCGUGGUGUGUGUCGGCUUCCUGGUGCUCAUGGUCAUCCUGGGCCUCGUGCGCAUCCACUCCCUUCACCGUCGUGUUUCAGGGGCCGGCGCGCCCCCUGGAGCCCCCAGUGACCCCAAGGACCCGGACCUCUUCUGGGAUGACUCUGCCCUCACCAUCAUCGUGAACCCCAUGGAGUCCUACCAGAAUCGGCAGGCCUGUGUGGUGGGGGCUGCUGGUGGCCCUCAGGAAGAUGAGGACAGCAGUGACUCCGAGGCAGCGGACUCCCCCAGCAGCGAUGAGAGGCACAUCAUUGAGAACCCCCCACACCGCUACUAAGGCCUACACCCAUCCCCAGACAGAAUUCUGCCCUGGUGAGACAGAGACGCCCCCAGAGGACAUUCUGAGAGAAGAGAGACCAGGAGGGAGAGAGCUCCCCUGAGGAGCCUUUCAUCUCAUGUGCUGGUGGCCCACCUCCUCCUCCACCCCCAGCCCGCCUCCCCCCUGCCUCCAGGGCUCCUGUUCCCCUGGGGUGGGAGUCUCUCCUAGGCUCACCAAGGCCUGGGUGGGAUUGAGGGGACCCUGCCUUCCCUCUGCUCCUGUCCCUGGAGGCCUUUCUCAGCUGGGCCAUCCCUGCUUCUCUUACUGCCCCUGCCCCUCUUUCCAUUUCACCCUGGGGGUUCCUGCUGCUUCUCCUUGCCCACGUUUCUUCCUCUUCCUGUCCUCUUUCCCCUCCUCUCCUGGUCUGAGGUCCUACCACCCCUGCCCCUUCCAACACUACCUGGUUGUGGCUAGGUUGUGGGGAUGGGAGGGGAACGGGGGCCUGGGUGUAUUAUAUAUAAUGUAUAUUUUUUCAUGUCGUCGUGAGCACAGCCCGUGUUCCGUGUGCAGCUCACAGCCUUGUGUGUGUGUGUGUGUGUGUGUGUGUGUGUGUGUGUGUGUGUGUGUGGCAUUGUC
Molecule: RNA transcript, 3869 nt
Organism: Manis javanica (Malayan pangolin)
Lineage: Eukaryota; Metazoa; Chordata; Mammalia; Pholidota; Manidae
Gene: CLSTN3
Gene name: calsyntenin 3
Source: RefSeq, a predicted model, not a curated record